ACGGGAGGCAGCAGUGGGGAAUAUUGGACAAUGGGGCGCAAGCCUGAUCCAGCAAUGCCGCGUGUGUGAAGAAGGCCUGCGGGUUGUAAAGCACUUUUGUUCGGGAAGAAAACGGAUCGGUUAAUACCCGGUUCGGAUGACGGUACCGAAAGAAUAAGCACCGGCUAACUUCGUGCCAGCAGCCGCGGUAAU
This 192-nucleotide ribosomal RNA is filed under the name uncultured bacterium. RNAcentral describes it as "partial 16S ribosomal RNA". It matches the Rfam family "Bacterial small subunit ribosomal RNA", at positions 341 to 524 of the family's 1533-position model. The record is from RNAcentral.